This 273-nucleotide ribosomal RNA is filed under the name Laribacter hongkongensis. Its description in RNAcentral is "partial 16S ribosomal RNA". It matches the Rfam family "Bacterial small subunit ribosomal RNA", at positions 1 to 276 of the family's 1533-position model. The record is from RNAcentral. Lineage: Bacteria; Pseudomonadati; Pseudomonadota; Betaproteobacteria; Neisseriales; Aquaspirillaceae.
GAACGAAAGAGUUUGAUCCUGGCUCAGAUUGAACGCUGGCGGCAUGCUUUACACAUGCAAGUCGAACGGUAACAGGGACUUCGGUCUGCUGACGAGUGGCGAACGGGUGAGUAAUGCAUCGGAACGUACCGAGUAAUGGGGGAUAACGCAUCGAAAGGUGUGCUAAUACCGCAUACGCCCUGAGGGGGAAAGCGGGGGAUCGAAAGACCUCGCGUUAUUCGAGCGGCCGAUGCCGGAUUAGCUAGUUGGUGGGGUAAAGGCUCACCAAGGCGA